UUGGCGACAUUGCUCCGAGCGUCUCGUCCUAAAGCGCCGUCAGGCGCCAGGGCCGACCGCCGCGCCGGCGCCCGCCGGCAAGGGUUGCGGGGGAAACCCCGCCGCCUCCCGCGCUUGGAAAGGAGCCCGCGUUGGGACGUC
Molecule: non-coding RNA, 141 nt
Filed under: Phenylobacterium sp.
Lineage: Bacteria; Pseudomonadati; Pseudomonadota; Alphaproteobacteria; Caulobacterales; Caulobacteraceae
Description: MoCo sequence
Rfam family: Molybdenum/Tungsten riboswitch aptamer (Moco RNA motif)
Source: RNAcentral